RNAcentral lists this ribosomal RNA (563 nucleotides) under uncultured bacterium. Its description in RNAcentral is "partial 16S ribosomal RNA". It matches the Rfam family "Bacterial small subunit ribosomal RNA", at positions 355 to 910 of the family's 1533-position model. The record is from RNAcentral.
UGGGGAAUUUUGGACAAUGGGCGAAAGCCUGAUCCAGCAAUGCCGCGUGUGUGAAGAAGGCCUUCGGGUUGUAAAGCACUUUUGUCCGGAAAGAAAUCCUUGGCUCUAAUACAGUCGGGGGAUGACGGUACCGGAAGAAUAAGCACCGGCUAACUACGUGCCAGCAGCCGCGGUAAUACGUAGGGUGCAAGCGUUAAUCGGAAUUACUGGGCGUAAAGCGUGCGCAGGCGGUUUGCUAAGACCGAUGUGAAAUCCCCGGGCUCAACCUGGGAACUGCAUUGGUGACUGGCAGGCUAGAGUAUGGCAGAGGGGGGUAGAAUUCCACGUGUAGCAGUGAAAUGCGUAGAGAUGUGGAGGAAUACCGAUGGCGAAGGCAGCCCCCUGGGCCAAGUACUGACGCUCAUGCACGAAAGCGUGGGGAGCAAACAGGAUUAGAUACCCUGGUAGUCCACGCCCUAAACGAUGUCAACUAGUUGUUGGGGAUUCAUUUCCUUAGUAACGUAGCUAACGCGUGAAGUUGACCGCCUGGGGAGUACGGUCGCAAGAUUAAAACUCAAAGAAUU